CCCCUACCAUUUAGCAAGCACCACUAGCCGGGACGGCAGAGGGGUCACAGGACUGUCACCUUGCGACCUGGCAGGUGCAGAUCAGCAAUUGGGUGCGAGGCCAGAAUGGCGGAGAAAUGGUCUCACAGUGAAUGUAGGCUGUUAUAGCGUUCUGGAUACCGGGUCUCUAGAUAAAAGAUCCCAAACCUCCGGAUGAUGAUCCACGUUCCAUUCCUGAUACUUUAGGAACAGUUCCAUCAGUGUGUGGGUCCUGCUGCAGCCCACGGAGUGAUGUUUCCAGGCAGCACUCCGGAGAAUACUGGAGUAUGAGAGGCCAGGCUCUGCCUUCCCCGAACAAACAUUCAUGUAAACAAUACAAAGUGGGGGAAAAAGAAAAUUGGAAUCGAAUUAAGAAACGUAAAGAAAUAUAGCAUAUAAAAUGACAGCAGACAAUCUAAAAAUAAAAA
Long non-coding RNA from Pseudophryne corroboree (corroboree frog), 446 nucleotides. RefSeq lists it as uncharacterized. Lineage: Eukaryota; Metazoa; Chordata; Amphibia; Anura; Myobatrachidae. The transcript is spliced from 3 exons. The record is from RefSeq and is a predicted model, not a curated record.